This 497-nucleotide ribosomal RNA is filed under the name uncultured bacterium. RNAcentral describes it as "partial 16S ribosomal RNA". It matches the Rfam family "Bacterial small subunit ribosomal RNA", at positions 28 to 507 of the family's 1533-position model. The record is from RNAcentral.
GAUGAACGCUGGCGGCGUGCCUAAUACAUGCAAGUCGAGCGAACAGACGAGGAGCUUGCUCCUCUGACGUUAGCGGCGGACGGGUGAGUAACACGUGGAUAACCUACCUAUCAGACUGGGAUAACUUCGGGAAACCGGCGCUAAUACCGGAUAAUAUAUUGAACCGCAUGGUUCAAUAGUGAAAGACGGUUUUGCUGUCACUUAUAGCUGGAUCCGCGCCGCAUUAGCUAGUUGGUAAGGUAACGGCUUACCAAGGCAACGAUGCGUAGCCGACCGGAGAGAGUGAUCGGCCACACUGGAACUGAGACACGGUCCAGACUCCUACGGGAGGCAGCAGUAGGGAAUCUUCCGCAAUGGGCGGAAGCUUGACGGAGCAACGCGGCGUGAGUGAUGAAGGUCUUCGGAUCGGAAAACUCUGUUAUUAGGGAAGAACAAAUGUGUAAGGAACUAUGCACGUCUUGACGGUACCUAAUCAGAAAGCCACGGCUAACUACGUG